This 4245-nucleotide long non-coding RNA is filed under the name Helianthus annuus (common sunflower). Its description in RNAcentral is "hypothetical non coding rna". The record is from RNAcentral. Lineage: Eukaryota; Viridiplantae; Streptophyta; Magnoliopsida; Asterales; Asteraceae.
UUGGGAGCUCCGAAAUUUACGAUGAAUCGGAUCUCACGUUGUAUUUCGUGUCAUCUAUAGAGAGCGACUAAUGAAGAUAAAAGGUCUCUCUCGCUAAAACCGCCCGUUUCUCUCUCUAAGGAUAAAGACGACGACAACAAAAAAGCUUCACAGAUGUGGUCAGUGGAUCUAUAUCCAACAACAAUAAACGAUCAUCAUCAUCUGAACAGAAUCAUCUGUCACGGAAGCAAGAGGUCCGAAAAUGGUCGAAAAUGGCGGUGAAUUGGAGAAAUCGACGCCGGAGGAGCAGAGCUGUUUCGACGGCUACGGAAUCCAGGUGCAGAUCAUAUUCGCUUACAAUCGACUAGCAGAUGGGAUAUCUAAGACUGUUUUCAGACAUUAUUAAGCUACACAAAUCACAUGCUAAUUUUGAUCUUGCAGUAAGAAAGAGAGAUUGUAAUGAAGGUCCUCGAGACUAUAGCUGAUGUUGGCCUAGAUACCCAACUAUCGGAUAAGGAGAUCGCAACUCGCUUGUCGAUCUCGAUGAUGAUGCCACGAAUAAACUUGACCGGAUGCUUCAGUUACUAGCGAGCUAUUCAGUUGUGUCACGUACACCCAAGGGGACUGUAAAUCUAAGCCGGCUAGAGUGUAUCGACCUGGGAUUACUUCCAAGAUGAGGCCAAUCAGGUAUUAGUUGGUCACAGGAUAGCAAGUGUACUUAUGUAUAUAUCUAAUGUUGAGAAAGGUGGCGAGACGAUAUUCCCACAAUUAGAGAUGAAAGAAUCUUAACUCAAAACCGACGAAGACUCAUACACGUGCACAUCACGUGAGGGUGUGCAAAAAUGGUUAUGCUGGUAUGUCAAUUCACCAAGGUAGAAACUAUGUACUCUUAUUAGGAAUGAGCGUGGUACAGGUACCGUAUCGAAACGGUACCGAAAUUCAUCAAAACUGGGUCCCGGUACCGAAAUAUUCGGCAUGGUCCGGUAUGGAACCGGUAUUUGAAGGUAAAAUUCGGUAUUUUACCAGUACCGUACGACCGAUACCGAAAAUGCCAAAAGCGAGCAUUUGGUACCGUUACCCAGUACCAAAUGCUCAUCCCUAACUCUUAUAGUGUUAAAAGAAAAUUACAUUAUACUAUAUGUUAGUAUAUGAAUGAAAGGAACAGUGAACUUCACAGAGAUAUGUGAUUUACGCCAUUACUUGACGUGUUGCUGGGUGUUGAAGACAUGUGUUAUAGUGUUUUUUCCCUUUUUUAAGCUGCCACAUAUAUGCAAUUCAUACAUAGUUCUCUAAAGCAAUUGUUGUUAAAUUAUAAUCUCGCCGGUGAUUCCGGGUGGAAGCGGAUCUAAUGCAAUAGCUUAAUCUCGCCAGCGAUCCCGACCAGAAAGUGGGUUACAACCGGAUCUUUGAAGUGCCUGAAGUUUGCUACAUUAUCUAUUAAUUGAAUUGAGCCAUUGAGGGAAGGUGCGGAAGGAGGGAGAAUGCAUACGGAAGUAUAGAAAGGUAGAGGUUGGAAGGUAAGGUGUUUGUUUUUUAAAAGUGUUUGAAGCUGUUUGUUGAAAUGUCUAGGGGCAAGGAUACAAGGAAUAAACGGUGGUGAGGGUGUUAGGAUACGUCGUUAUAGGAAGACUCAUGAACUAUUUUGAUGGGUCUUUGUAUCAGUAUGUUUGUGUCAACUUCUAAGUUUUGAUUCACUGUUGUAAUUAGUCUGAGACACAAGGACAAAUACUUUUAUCCUUUGUUUUAAAGAUUAACACUUCUUGCAAACAGGGAUGCUUCAAGGCCCACAACACCGUCAACAACUGCAGGAUAUGUUGUAAGUUUCUCAUUCGGAACAUUUAUCGCUCUAACCUAUUAAACGCUCAUAUGUCAAAUUUAGGGCCACCAUUUUUUAAUAUGUGAUUUGUAGAUGUGGCUGUGGGGAAAAAGAAGUAAAAAAUACUGUGUACCCGGCCGCAACGCGGCGGGUACUUUUCUAGUUGUUAUAUAAAAAAAAUCAUUUUUACUUGGUUUUCUUUGUAUUAUGUUAAAUGUUUUGGUUAUUGUGUCUUUUAACUGUGUUUUGCUCCUUACGUUUUUUACUAAGGUUUCUAUACAUUGUGUUAUUAUCAAAACUUAUAACACAAUGUUAAUUUGGGUUAUGCCCAUUGUGUUUUUAUUAGAACCUAUAACACAAUGUAUGACACAAUGAAGAUAGUGUUAUAUUUGGGUUUUCUAUACAUUGGGUUCUGGUCAUUGUGUUUAUUAUGCUAUGGAUUGUGUUUUAAUCUUCCGUUCAUUGUGCUUUUGUUUUGUUGCGCAUUGUGUUUCGUCUGUUGUCCAUUGUGUUUGAGUAUGCUUUCCAUUGUGUCUUUUAUCUGUUAUUAUCAAUUGUGUUUUUAGUUUGAUACUCAUUGUGUUUAGUCUGUUGGCCAUUACGUCUUUUAUUUGUUGUCAUCGAUUGUGUUUUUGGUCUACUUCCAAUUGUGUUUUUAGUUUGAUACUCAUUGUGUUUUACGUUAUGUACAUCGUGUAAUACGCAACUGGGUUUUCUCAUUGUGUUUUAUGUUAUAAUCAUUGUGUAAUACGUAAUUGAGUUUUCGAAAAAAAAAAUUAAAGUAUAGUAAUAUGGCAUAAAAACGCUCGAUUUUAUGGUAUAUCUUUUUUAUAAAACAAAUGAUGUAUAAAAAAGUUACGGACGUUUAUAAAUGAGGGCGAAUAUCAUGUGACUUGCAUGUGCGUAAUUUUUUUAUUUUCUUUGACAAAAUUACUAUUCCCACUUGAAUCUUUUUGAAACACUUGUCACUGUAUAGUGGCUUCUUACAUUUCUUGUUUUUAAACUAUUUUGUAUUAUAACUCAACCCGAAACUUAGGUAUUAUUAACCAUUUUUACAUAUAAAACUAUAUUUUACUUCAACAAAUAUUUUAAUGUAUUUAAAUAUGAGAAAGUAGUAUAAAAGUGAAAAAAAUACCAAUUUGAUAAUACUAAUUUUCUCUCAUGAGAAAUUCAAUUUUUAGUAUAUUUGACAAAACUAAUUUUCUCACAUGGGAAAUUCAAUUUUUAGUAUUUAAAGAAACUGAACCCUAAAAAUUAAUCAACUGGCAUAAAUAUGAUUUGAUGUGUUUGAAAAUGAAUGAUGUGAUGUGACAAGUAAAGUAUAUUAACUAACUAUAACAAAAAUAAUUAAGCCCGCCCCACACAAAUGAUUUUGAAGUUUUAUGUUUCUAUGUCUAGAUAAAUUCUAUGAUUCCAAGUUUGUAUGUUUGAAUUCCUUAUCUCUUAAAAUAAGAAAGUUGCUUCAGGAUUGUUUAAACUUUAAAACAAUUUUGUUAGCUUAGGGUCCGGAGAAUAUAUGAAUGAGGAAUCAAUCAGGAAAAUUGAUGAUUUGCGGGUGGUUAAAACACGUAAUGAUUGUUUUUAGGAUUUUUAGAACGACGACACACCUAAGAAGUGACCAACAUUUGUGCCACUACAUAUGAGAAUACAAUGCAUGAGCUUAAGGAUAUUUAGUAGCGGAUUUUGAAAAAAAAGAAUGAGCUACAUUAGUUUGAGCCAAAAUACAAACAUGUGCAAUUUUGAUCCAUUUACUUAUAAAUGGGCCUGGUCAAACAAAUAAGAAACUUAAAUAGGAAUGAGCCAAAUGGAUUGAACAUUUACUUUUCAGUGUAAAUUAUAUAAUUCAUAAUGUGCAACUUGUGUGGCACACGAGCUAUUAUUUACACAAGUAAUGGAACGUUUAUUUCAUUCCAAAGUUUAUGUCAAUACUUUUAAAUUAUACCGUUCCAAAACCCUAUAUGAAGUUACAGUUUCCUCGUUUUAGUGGGUGGAAGAUGGAGAAAAGGUUCACCUCGCCUCUUUUCAACCCGAGGGCAUAACUCUAUAGUGGCAUCAGUAGCUUGAAUAAACCAAAGGCCUGAUAUAAGUCGGGCCACAUGUGUUCUAAAUUACAACUAAGGAUGAUUAUCCGUUCCGUAGACGAUUCCAUUCUUCACCUUGAGGACAAGGUGACUUCAACCGGGGUGGAAUGAUAUGUGUGGGGUCAGACUUACGGGUCGGCCAUCGUGGGAAUUGGAUUGCAAGAUGGCACGUGGGUUAGUUAGAUUCAUUUGAUGUCUCGUUAUUUUUAGUUAUGAGUGGCUAGAAUAAUAAAGGGGUUGUAGGAUACCCACGUAUGAGUUUAUUUGUUUGCUUUGCAUAUAAUUCGUCAGUUAGUUCCCUUUCUUUAUAAGGGCCACGUUCCUUUAAUUAAUGUAUGCAGAAGAUAUGUUUUAGUCUAACUCCUUUCU